RNAcentral lists this ribosomal RNA (253 nucleotides) under uncultured bacterium. RNAcentral describes it as "partial 16S ribosomal RNA". It matches the Rfam family "Bacterial small subunit ribosomal RNA", at positions 524 to 776 of the family's 1533-position model. The record is from RNAcentral.
UACGUAGGGGGCAAGCGUUGUCCGGAUUUAUUGGGCGUAAAGAGCGUGUAGGCGGCUUUACAGGUCCGUUGUGAAAACUCGAGGCUCAACCUCGAGACGCCGAUGGAAACCGUCUGGCUAGAGUCCGGAAGAGGAGAGUGGAAUUCCUGGUGUAGCGGUGAAAUGCGCAGAUAUCAGGAAGAACACCCGUGGCUAAGGCGGCUCUCUAGUACGGUACUGACGCUGAGACGCGAAAGCGUGGGGAGCGAACAGG